AGGCUGAUGUGUUCUAAGACUCGUGUGCUUUGUGAAAUCUAUUCCAAGAAAAAAGGGGAGAAACCCACCAAAAAAAAAAAUGCGUCCGGCUGUGCGUUGAAAUCGGUGGUUUUUAAACGAUGCGUAAUUACAGCGAUUGUCUUUACACGGGAGCGCGAGCUGUUGUCGCUACACGUCUGCAUCGGUCGGGAUUAGAACCUUUUCCCCCCAUCGAUUCACUUUCGGACUAUUUUAUAUCUCCACCUACUUCUUGGAAUUGAACCAACCCUACAUGUGCGUACCAAUUACGUGUUGUGCUCGCUUACAAAGGCGCCCCACGGAGCUGUGUCGGACUUCCGCGUCAUCAGGAGAGGCGUGCGGCCAGCAGUCGAAGAAACUUGGCUAUGGAAGGAAAGAGAAGGACUUGCGGAGGUUCUGUGUGUGAUGUCUCGAGCUCUUCUGUCACCGUACCUUGAAAAGCGAUUAUCAUCGAACUUGGAACAUAACAAUCUAUCGAAGAACACCGUGGGAAGGUGUUGUUGUGCAGAAGAAAAUCACAUGUGCUUGAUUGUGUAGUGUGCAACAUCGGCCAGGCCCGGCAUAGAUUGGAAGCUAUAUUUCGAGAGACUACAGCACGUAUCUCAGCUGCUGAUGCUGCAGCCCUGCCCUAACACAUUGCUGACGAAGAUGCUUAAUAGUCUCACCCACAACCUUCCAGUGAUUCUCUCUAUCAUCUUUUUAUCUACCUGUGUGUUUUAAAAAGUAAAUCCCAAUAGAACACCUAGUCACGCAUAGGGGCUUAUAGACAUAAUUCAUACCCUUACGUAAAAGACCUUUGACCCAAAGUCAACUCGAAAGGCAAACAAUCGAUGAUGAUGGUUUAUCCUUUUUCUUCUUCAUUUAAGGAUUCUCACGAUUGAAAGUUCGGAGUAAAAGUGAAACAGGAAACUAUUUUCCUCCAAGCUGGUUGUUGUCUUGAAAAGCACAAAAUUAUACCGAGGGGUCUAUCUUUUAGCAGCAAAAGACCAAUAAGAAUAUCUGAAUUCACUUUCUCUUUUCCAAUUCUAAUUAUCUGUUUAGACUGUAUAAAUAGAAACAAGACACAACGCGAGCCAUAAAACGGGAAGAGUUUGCCUUUAAUGCGAUAAAUGCGCAGCCAUAAGUGGAGUGGAAACUUUGUUUGUC
This is a long non-coding RNA of Daphnia magna, 1164 nucleotides long. RefSeq lists it as uncharacterized. NCBI's taxonomy places the organism in Eukaryota, Metazoa, Arthropoda, Branchiopoda, Diplostraca, Daphniidae. The record is from RefSeq and is a predicted model, not a curated record. The transcript has 3 exons.